UCAUGUUCUCAUGUUCAUGUAUUCCAUUUGUCAACUUCUCUUUGCUUCCUUUUCUAACUUACUGAAAAAUGGAGACUAGGUGGUCCAGUUACAUCACAAAUUCAGAGAAGAGAUACCGUAAGUGAACGAGUGGCAGGCAGUGGGAGCUUCUGCACAGCUCAGUCUAAAGUUUACUUCACUUCCAACAGUCAGACUAUGUUAAGACUUCUGGUGCUUAAUGCAGUUUGGGAAACUCCUAAUUAACCUCUUCAAGCCUUGCAAAUUCAAGCCUAUAAAUCACAACAGUCAGAAAAAAUAGCCCAGACUUUUACCUUGGUUUUUUUUUGUCCCCACUAAGAGAUAGCUGCACUCUCUAAGGGGCAGUGGAGGAGAAGUAUCCAAUUCUCUGGGCCAGCCUUGGUGAUCUGCAAACUACCACAGAGAGGUUUUCUCCCAUCUGUUGGUGGGGAUGCACUUCUCUGGGCUGCCGCGACCUGACCCAGGGAUCAGUAGCUUGCAAAUGCCUUGUCUGUGACUCAGGUAAGCACAAACCAAUAGCAAACCAAUGCCAGCUGGUAUUGGUUAGCGGUUGCCCUGAGUCAUGUGGGUUGGUGGUGACUCAGUGAUCUCUAGUCCCCUAGGACGCUCCCCUGAUGAUGUCUGCCACAAGGACCCAGCCUGUGUUGGGACUGACCUUUCCUCUUCAAGCUUUGGGACCUGCUGACGGGGAGGAGUUAAUAAGAUGUUACUUCAUCCCAUGUUCGGAGAAAUCAUCUCCCUUUGGCAGUGUGGGAUUAGUGGGAAGAAGUCUGAGGCUUACUGGAAGAGAGCUCAAAGACACCGACUGGGCUGGAGCACUCUCAGAAGAUGUCAGACACAGACCUCGAGGUGUUUGCCAAAACAAAUGACUCGGGAGCACGCCACAGAAAAGCCUCCAAAAAGGAGCCUGGCGCAGGGAAUCCUCUGGCAGCACCCACGAGGCGUUAUCCUCGUAUGGCAUCCUGGUGGAGUCAGCUUGGAGCAGUCUCUGAGGAACCGGGAAAACAUUUCCUAGGCACCUCAAGGAGAAGAUACGUCUUUUCUGACAGGUCUGGGAAAGACUGCUUCGACAGACUUCAGCAAUGAGCAUACCCUGGCCGGACUUGUCAGGAUGCCUUAAAUCUGGUGACUGGGAGUUGCACAGACUGAAAGAGGGCAGUCAACCAAGCAUCGUGUGGCUCCUCGCUGGGCA
Molecule: long non-coding RNA, 1210 nt
Organism: Dromaius novaehollandiae (emu)
Lineage: Eukaryota; Metazoa; Chordata; Aves; Casuariiformes; Dromaiidae
Exons: 4
Source: RefSeq, a predicted model, not a curated record